Molecule: transfer RNA, 72 nt
Filed under: Candidatus Pacearchaeota archaeon
Lineage: Archaea; Nanobdellati
Description: tRNA-Thr
Rfam family: tRNA
About the family: Transfer RNA (tRNA) molecules are approximately 80 nucleotides in length. Their secondary structure includes four short double-helical elements and three loops (D, anti-codon, and T loops).
Source: RNAcentral
GCCUGCGUAGCUCAGAGGUAGAGCAACUGAUUCGUAAUCAGUAGGCCGAGGGUUCGAUUCCCUCCGCAGGCU